RNAcentral lists this long non-coding RNA (685 nucleotides) under Linum usitatissimum (flax). RNAcentral's name for it is "long non-coding RNA (LUSI_LNC007364)". The record is from RNAcentral. Lineage: Eukaryota; Viridiplantae; Streptophyta; Magnoliopsida; Malpighiales; Linaceae.
UCAAAUAGAGCUUCGUAACUGUCCUGAGCCAAUUUUGUAUUAACAGGAAAAGUCAUCGGGCUGUAGUUGGCCUUAGUUGAAAGUUACAGAAUGUAGCAGUAUUUUAUAAUACUGUAGGGAUUGAAACAAUAAAAAUGGAGAAUUAAAUUGAUUUUUCUAUCUUCUUCCUCCAUCUGAGUCGUCGUCGCCGCUACUCCGUCACCGUCCCCUCCAUCGGCUGGCUUGGGGAUUUUCUCCUCCUUGCUCAUCCCUUAUUCGAAAAGCAAUGUCGUCCUUCAUAGCUCCUCAUUAAUCUUGGCUAGAUUUAGAUUGGCAUCGGUGAAAGACAACCUUAUCUUGGAGAUGGCGAUUGAAACCAUCCAAUCUGAUAUAUAGUCUCCUGAGAUAAGACGGCUGGGUCGGCCCGCGACACCAAAGAUGUGAAGCGGCUCCUAGAAGCUAGAAACAUAAGGGAAAAGGAUAAAUGAGACUCACAGUGGCCAUCGGAGACGAAAAAUCUAAGGUGAGGUGACUAGAGGAGAGAGAUAUGGUUCUUCAAUUGGAUGUCCGACGCGAAAGGCAUUGCUCCGACGCUGCCUCUCGAACAGAGCCAAAAAUCGUGUCGAGUAGCUCCCUGUAAUAUAUUCCUGUCCAAACAUGUUUCCUGAGUAGUCCCACCCGAUCGACUAUGCUGUACGCUGAUUCU